ACUAUCUCAACCCCGCUGGGUUUUCUUUACCCGGUAGCUUGGGCUUUGGAUCGUGAUCGUCUGCCGGCUCGUCUCGUUACGGGUCUGGCUCGAUCAAAAGGUACGAGUGGCUGAUUUCCCCUGAUCCGGCCUGACUCGGCGUGAUAAUCAUUUCAUUCGCCGAAUGACGGAAUGUGGAGAAGGGGUAAUGAAAGGCUGCUACCAACCCAUCACUUGAUCA
Molecule: unclassified non-coding RNA, 220 nt
Filed under: uncultured Basidiomycota
Lineage: Eukaryota; Fungi; Basidiomycota
Description: sequence contains ITS2
Source: RNAcentral